This 382-nucleotide ribosomal RNA is filed under the name uncultured bacterium. Its description in RNAcentral is "bacterial SSU rRNA". It matches the Rfam family "Bacterial small subunit ribosomal RNA", at positions 376 to 774 of the family's 1533-position model. The record is from RNAcentral.
CGAAAGCCCGAUGCAGCAACGCCGCGUGGGCGAUGAAGGCCUUCGGGUCGUAAAGCCCUUUUUGAGGGGAUGGGGAAGGACAGUACCCUCAGAAUAAGCCUCGGCUAACUACGUGCCAGCAGCCGCGGUAAAACGUAGGAGGCGAGCGUUAUCCGGAUUUACUGGGCGUAAAGCGCGUGCAGGCGGAUUGGAGAGUUGGAUGUGAAAGCUCCCGGCUUAACUGGGAGAGGUCGUUCAAUACUUCCAUUCUUGAGUGCAGUAGAGAGAAGUGGAAUUCCGAGUGUAGUGGUGAAAUGCGUAGAUAUCCGGAGGAACACCAGUGGCGAAAGCAGCUUCCUGGACUGUAACUGACGCUCAGACGCGAAAGCUAGGGUAGCAAACG